This is a non-coding RNA of Pelobates cultripes (western spadefoot toad), 258 nucleotides long. The record is from the annotation of a GenBank genome assembly. Lineage: Eukaryota; Metazoa; Chordata; Amphibia; Anura; Pelobatidae.
GUUUCCCUGUGUAAGGUGGGAUAAGAAGUUAAUUACCUUCAGAGUAACUGACUAAAGUCCAAAAAUAUAUAUUGUAUUUAUCAAUGUCUGAAUUUUGCAGUGAAUGCUCUGAAUUACCCAGAAUAUGGUCUGGACCUAUAGGCGUGCGCACGGGGUGUGCCGGGUGUGCCUGAGCACACCCUAAUCCCCGCGGCACGCCUAUGCAUAUUGAGACCGGCAGGGGAGAUCUCAGGAUCUCCCCUGUCGGCUCAUGCAGAG